This 391-nucleotide ribosomal RNA is filed under the name uncultured microorganism. RNAcentral describes it as "bacterial SSU rRNA". It matches the Rfam family "Archaeal small subunit ribosomal RNA", at positions 330 to 676 of the family's 1478-position model. The record is from RNAcentral.
GUGCACCAGUCGCGAAACCUUCGCAAUGCAGGAAACUGCGACGAGGGAACUCCAAGUGCCUACGCUCAGCGUAGGCUGUUCUCAAGCCUAGAAAGCUUGAGGAGCAAGGGGCUGGGUAAGACGGGUGCCACCUGUGGUAGCAGUCAAUAGAUUCGAUUUGUUACUGCAAGGCAUAAGCCGCCGCGGUAAUACCCGCAGCCCAAGUGGUGGCCGCUUUUAUUGGGCCUAAAGCGUCCGUAGCCGGCCCGGUAAAUGCCUGGGUAAAUCGUGGAGCCCAACUUCACGAAUUCCGGGUAGACUGCCGAGCUCGGGACCGGAAGAGGAGAGGGUACUUCAGGGGUAGGGGUGAAAAUUCCUUUCCAUUAACGCUUUGCGCGAAGCGGAAAGGGUU